ACGGGUGAGUAACGCGUGGGAACGUGCCUUCUGGUUCGGGAUAACCCUGGGAAACUAGGGCUAAUACCGGAUACGCCCUUUUGGGGAAAGGUUUACUGCCGGAAGAUCGGCCCGCGUCUGAUUAGCUAGUUGGUGGGGUAACGGCCUACCAAGGCGACGAUCAGUAGCUGGUCUGAGAGGAUGAUCAGCCACACUGGGACUGAGACACGGCCCAGACUCCUACGGGAGGCAGCAGUGGGGAAUAUUGGACAAUGGGCGCAAGCCUGAUCCAGCCAUGCCGCGUGAGUGAUGAAGGCCUUAGGGUUGUAAAGCUCUUUUAUCCGGGACGAUAAUGACGGUACCGGAGGAAUAAGCCCCGGCUAACUUCGUGCCAGCAGCCGCGGUAAUACGAAGGGGGCUAGCGUUGCUCGGAAUCACUGGGCGUAAAGGGCGCGUAGGCGGCGUUUUAAGUCGGGGGUGAAAGCCUGUGGCUCAACCACAGAAUGGCCUUCGAUACUGGGACGCUUGAGUAUGGUAGAGGUUGGUGGAACUGCGAGUGUAGAGGUGAAAUUCGUAGA
Molecule: ribosomal RNA, 557 nt
Filed under: uncultured Methylobacterium sp.
Lineage: Bacteria; Pseudomonadati; Pseudomonadota; Alphaproteobacteria; Hyphomicrobiales; Methylobacteriaceae
Description: bacterial SSU rRNA
Rfam family: Bacterial small subunit ribosomal RNA
Source: RNAcentral